CACCAUCUUGUGCCAGAGCUAGCAAUAACCGAUGGGUAUAUUUACCAUACAUAAAGGUACCGUCAAUUUAUACCAAUGGCUUACAGUACAUCUUUUCUAACGCCUUUUGCUUAGCUAUUCAAGCCUUACGGUAAGAGGGCAUGUACCUCAAUUGGCUAAGAAUAUUGGCAAUUAAGACCAACACAGAAGUCCUGGAAUUCGCCUUCACCAUCGGUAGUAUUAAGCUAGCUAUCAUACCCGAAUCCAUCUUGGGAUGAUC
Molecule: long non-coding RNA, 259 nt
Filed under: Gossypium barbadense (sea-island cotton)
Lineage: Eukaryota; Viridiplantae; Streptophyta; Magnoliopsida; Malvales; Malvaceae
Description: long non-coding RNA (GBAR_LNC020689)
Source: RNAcentral